Non-coding RNA from Podarcis muralis (Common wall lizard), 2439 nucleotides. Lineage: Eukaryota; Metazoa; Chordata; Lepidosauria; Squamata; Lacertidae. The record is from RefSeq and is a predicted model, not a curated record.
GGUUUUACCCACAGCGCCACCCGCGUCCCUUUAGGAGGCGAAGAGGAAGGACUGUUUAUUCCCCUUAUUUUGCAGCAACCUGUGUUGCAUCUUCAGAGGCAAGUGCAAUGUUCCACAACUUCUGUUAUCAGCUCCCAUUUUGCUUUCAAUUUUUUACAUUAGCUAUCAUUGCUGGCACUUUGACUAUGGGCUAAAGAAGAAGCUCCUCAAAUGAAAAUAUCAUUCUUUCCCCCCCACCAAGCCUGCACUGAAAUCACGUGAAUGUUUUGCAAUUUUGUAUAUUAAUAAAAUCUGAAACUCUUAAAUCCCACAUGAGUGAAGCUAUGGCAUUAGUUAUUUAACUAUGUGCCUUCAAACAUGACAAUCUGGCCUUUUCACAUGGAGUCGCACAAUGUGCUGUGAAUUAUUUUAUGACAGCCAAAUAAUCCCACGCAGGUGACUAAAGUGCAUUGAGACACUGUUCCAAAGGUUGUAAUAAUGGCUUCUUUUCAGAAUGGAAACAUGGCACUAAUAGAGCCUUCGACAACCAGAUACCCUCCAGCUGGUUUGGUCUACAAUUCCCAUCAGCCCCAGCAUCAUAUGGCCGGGCUGGCUAGGGCUGAUGGGAGUUGUAGUCUAUAACAGCUGGAAGGCAGCAAACUGGUGAAGGCUGACCUCGUGCAAAACAUGUGGUUAGAAUCCUCAGGAAUUCACCACAGGCUGUCUCAGAUCCACAGCAUCAAAGGGUGGCAAGAAAGUUAUUAUUGAAAUAGCCUGCUAAAAGCUGCUUUUGUCAUGGAAUUGGAUUCUUUCUUUCUUUUUCAUUUUUUAGCCGUGUUAGAUUUAUGAGAGGCAACUCCUGAAUCUGCAUCUCUUUUGCUGAUAUUGUGUGGAAGCCAACCCUGGUAAUAGAGAGCUCAAGGGGACUCCGGACAGUGUUGCUUUGCCGGUCCUUUCCUGAACAUAUUUCAUUUCUGUAUUAUUGUAUGAAAACUUAAGUUUUAAUACCGUACCAUAGGACACUAAGGACCCUAUUCAGAGACUGUUUGUGUCCCGUGGAAGGGGCUUUUAAUGUACUGUAAGUCUGAUUUGAAAAACCAGCCCUCCAUACGACUCUCUGGCAAACGGGAACUCAGGAAAUCGGGCCGUUACUGAGAUGGUCUUGGCAUUCGUGCCGGCUCUUUGACGUGCCUGCCGCAAGCCCGAUAGGGGCUUCAUUGUGCCACUUCCACAAAGAAAGGGAACGUCGCCUCUUUUCUUCUCUGUCAGUGGCUGACAUAAGAAGGUUUUCAGAACAAAGGGCAGAGUUGUGCCAAGGAGCAGUCCAAGAGGAUUAGCACUUCCGAACAGCGGAAGGCCUCCCUCGCCUACCUGCCUCGUUCCUGCUCUUCACUGCAUUUUUGGGUUUGGGCUUAUGGCAAUUUCAAGUGAAUGAUGCAUUCAUUCUCCGCACAAAUCUUAUUUCUAAACUCUAAUUUAAUAGCAUUAAACCCUAAGCUGCCUUGGUUUUAAGAGAUAAAACUCCAAAGUUGAUAACUGCAUUUAGGAAUAGUUCAGGUAUUGAGUUUCUAAUUUGCUUCCUGAGCAUGGAAAUCCCUCAGAUAGUCAAUAUUGACGACCUUUAAUUGGUAGCCGGAGCCUCCCGCUGAGCAAAUGUUUUUCUCUCCAGCAGAAGGAAGAGGUUCCAGGUGGCUGGCAAGGCAUCCUUGGCUGCAGCUACUCAGGACCACACUCCUCCAGGCAGGUCAGGCUUUGAGCAGGGCAUCCUCUAUCUGCUGCUGCUGUUGAUCUUUGCUCUUGCUUCCAGGCAGAGCUGGAGGGGAUUGCCCAGAGUAGGGCCAGCAGACACCACCUGCCCUGUGAGGAGAAAGAAGAGGGGAAGGGAGGCAGACACGGGCAUCAGGCCUGCUCCAGCCACACUGUCUCGCCGCCAGCCAACUUGAAAUGCUAUACCAUUUGUUUUAAUCCUUAAAAAUUGCAAACCAUCUUGGGUGCCUUUGGCAGAAAGGUAGUAUAUAAAUGCAAGGAAUAAAUAAAUGAAUGCCUGCUUCUGCACAGCUAAAGGUAAAGCCAACUGCCUUCACUGCCAUUCCUUGGGAAUCCAACACUGAUUCCCCAUUUGUAAGAUGAGGAGGAAAGCCCAGCCUACAACCAGAGGCUGCUUGUGGGUUUGAAGAGAGGCCUGCCUUAGCCCUGCCCUCUGGAAUAUACCAAUCACUGGCCUCCCACCUGGACAUCACAAGGAGCAGCGCCGAGAAGUUAGUGCCUACCUGCAGCCGCACCUGGAAGCAAGGCCCUGACCAAGGAGACGACCUGGCAUAAGGAGCAGCCAGCCAGCAUCAGCCAAGGCCUGGCAAUGGAUGCCUGUAAAGACAGAGGGACUCUAGAGGGAGACGUAAGGGCCUUUUCCCUACUUUCAGCCAUCACCUCUGUGUAUAUUAAACAUUAGCUCCAAUGAAA